ACCUUAAUAGAAGAAGAAGACGUCAAGACGAUCGAGGCAGACUGACUGCACGCUGUUAAAACUUCACCAAGAUCGGUGUUGGACCGGCGAACACUUAGGCCUAUGUUAUCAGAGGACUUGCUAACAUGAAGAAAACGGUCCAGAGCUUCCACCUGAGAGCCGGGACUGUCAAAUAGUAAG
Molecule: long non-coding RNA, 180 nt
Organism: Onychostoma macrolepis
Lineage: Eukaryota; Metazoa; Chordata; Actinopteri; Cypriniformes; Cyprinidae
Exons: 3
Source: RefSeq, a predicted model, not a curated record